UCUAGGAAUGUGGAGCUCUGCCCCCAGUGC
RNAcentral lists this non-coding RNA (30 nucleotides) under Homo sapiens (human). Lineage: Eukaryota; Metazoa; Chordata; Mammalia; Primates; Hominidae. The record is from RNAcentral.